AUCAGACCAUAAGUUAACUAAAGAAAUGUUGAAGAUUGUGGAUUCUCGUAGCUCAUGCACUACUUUCAUAAACCGGAGAAGGUAGGAUAGAUUCGACACACCUUGCUAUAUCCUAAAUGUUCAGUCCAAGGUUGGUUGCACCAAUACAUUACCAAGAUGCCGCAAUUGUUCUAGUUCCUACACUUCUUCCUUCAUGUCGUGCAUUUCUUCCUUCAUGGAAAAUAACUAAAUGUAAGCAAGAGUUCGUUUCAUAACAACAAGUGUAGCAAAUAUGAAUUUUCAUAAAAGAGCUAAUGAAAGAAAAUAUUUAUGAUCACUUGGGCAGUAACAUCAUUAAUUAAGCAAAGAGCUAAUGAAUGAAAAUAAUCCUAACCAAGAAAUCAAAUAAUAAACUGAACAAGACUAAAGAAAGGAAAAACAUUACCAGCUAGAAGCUUAAAACGAGAGAUAUAUCGUAUUAAUAUGCAAUCUCAAGAUAUAACAUGUAUAAGGUAAAUUAAGAAGCAACACUUAGAGAAUAAUCAGUUCCUAUAUAUUUACCCGGUGGAAAGAGGCGCCUCCACAUAUGUGAAGUAUAAGAACAAUCAAUAUAUGUGUGUUUGCCGUGUGGAAAGAGGCGCCUCCACAUAUGUGAAUAAUAAGAACAAUCAAUAUAUGUAUGUUUGCCAUGUGGAAAAAGGAGCAUCCACAUAUAUGAAUAAUAUGAACAAUCAAACAUUGGUAUCUAUCAUUACUCACUACGGUUGAUAUAGUAUUCAUAUAAGAACAAUAAAGAUAAUCCUUAACUACUAUAUAUAUGUAACGACCCGGCCAGUCGUUUGAUGAGUCACCGCUCUGUUUCCCCCAUUUCUUCUUCUUACUAUCUUGUUCAACUGCAUUAUGUGUUAUCUAGUUGGUUGGUUUGGGUUCGGAGAGGUUUUGGAAAGGAACGAGAUACUUAGUCUCUUUUGAGUAAGCUUAGGUUGGAAAAGUCAUUCGGAUAUCGAUUUAUAUGAAAAAGGGAUCGGAUGUGAAUUCCGAUGGUUUGGAUAGCUUUGUCAGGUGAUUUGGGACUUAGGAGUGUGAUCCAAAUGUAUUUUGGAUGUCCGGAGUAGAUUUAGACUUGAAUUGGCGAAAUUGGAAUUAUGACAUUUUCUGGUUGAUAGGUGCGAUUUUGAUAUAUGAGUCGAAAUGGAAUUCCGGAAGUUAGAGUAGGUCUGUUGUGUCAUUUGUGACAUGUGUGCAAAAUUUCAGGUCAUUCGGACGAGGUUUGAUAGACUUUUUGAUCGAAAGCGGAAUUUGGAAGUUUUGGAAUUUUUAGGUUUGAAUCCGAUGUUAAUUUGGUGUUUUGAUAUUGUUUUGAGCGUUCCGAAGGUUGGAACAAGUCUGAAUAAGGUUAUGGGAUAUGUUGGCAUGUUUGGUUGACGUCCCGAGGGCCUCGGGUGAGUUUCGGGCGGUUGAACGGAUCAAUUUAUGUUGGGAAAAAGUUGCAGAAAAUCAACUGUUGGUGUUGCAGACGUUUGGUCUUCACGUUCGCGAAGGGGUAGGAUGUGAGGCUGGAGGGUUGGCCUUCAUGUUCGCGAUAGGGGUCCCGCAUUUGCGGAGGGCUGGGGUCAGUGUGUAUCGCGUUCGGGAUGGUAUUGUCGCGUUUGCAUAGAGUUAAUGGGAGCAGCUGGGUCCAGGUCAUUUGUGUUUCGCGUUCGCGAGCUAGGUGUCACGUUCGUGAUGGAUUGAAAAGUUGGAGCUUCGGGUUCGCGUACAGGGCAUCGCGUUCGCGAUGAACGAGUAAGUGCUCAAGGGAAUUUUAUGCUUCGCGAACACGAGGCGUUGACUGUGUUCGCGAAGACGAGAUUUAAAUAGCUGUGCAGAAUGUUUAAAUGACCACUUCUGCGAUUUUGGGUCUACAUUUCACUAUAUUUGAGCGAUUCUGGAGCUUUUUGAGAAGGAUUGAAGAGGUAAUCAAAGGGAAACACUUGGAGGUAAGAUUUAUGAACUUAAUACUCGAUCCUAUUGUGAUUUCUACCUAAUUAAACAUGAAAAUUGUGGAAUCUAAAGCCUAAAAUUGGAGAGUUAGGGCUUGGAAUUUGAGACUUUGAUUUAAGGAUUUGAGGGGUCAUUUGUGGUUGGAUUUUUAUGUAUUUGAUAUGUAUGAACUCAUGAGAGUGUAAGGAUUCUAGUUUUAUGAUUUUUAUCGAAAUCAGAGACGUUGGCUCGGGGGUCGGGUUUGGUCAAUUUCGAGAUUUGUUUUAUGUAAAUUGGUUAUUUUCGAGUGGGCUUUGCUCCCUUAGCAUAGUUUGAUGGUAUAAAUCUAUUUUUGGAUAGAUUUGGAGCAUCCGAAGGCCGAUUCGAGGGGAAAAGGCUUCGUAGGCUAGAGUUUGGACCGGAUAGAGGUAUGUAAUGAUUGUAAAUGUUGUCCUGACAGUAUGAAACUCCGAAUUUUACAUCGUUGUGCUACUUUGAAGUGACACACAUGCUAGAUGACGAGUAUGGGGUCGUGCACCGUUGGAGAUUGUGACUUAGUCCAUCCUGUAUGACUGUUAAACCGCGUAUUUGAUUGAAUACUAUUUGUUAUCCUUGUGUUUUGGAAAGUAUUAUCGUAUUUUGGGUUGAUUGUCAUAUUUGAGUCUCGUGCCAACUGUUAUAGAUGUCACACCUCCUUUUUACACCUACACCCCCGGAAAAGGGUAUAAGGGGAGUUUUUCCAAUUAAAGGACAAUCGAAACGGGAUUUAUUUAUCAAAAGAUUCAGAUUCGCCACUUGGGAGAUUUAUGGUGUCCCAAGUCACCGGUUCAAAUCCCGAAUCGAGGAAAAGGUUGAUUCUGUUUAACAGUCCGCAAACCAGAAAUCCGGGUAAGGAAUUCUUUUAACCCGGGAGAAGGUGUUAGGCAUUUCCGAGUUCCGUGGUUCUAGCACGGUCGCUUAACUGUUAUAAUUGGCCUAUUUACUUGAUUUUAAUACAUGUUUAGCCUAUGGUGCAAUUUUAGCCUUAACUGCUUUAUUCAUUUUUAGAGAAAAUUGCGACGUUAUUAAAACACGUCUCAAACUACGUCAUAUAAAUGUACCCGUGGUCUUUGACAUAUUUUAACAUCGUUGAGAUUUGGAUUUGGGUCACAUAAAUGCGCACCCGAGUUUGAAUAUUACAAAUCACAACUAUGCCACGGGAACCGUACUCGUAGCCAUAAUAAUUUAUUUAAUUAACGCACCUAAAGCAAACUACAAGAGUUCAAGGCAUAAUAGAUCAUUCAUCGUUGAAGCCUUGGUCAUAUUCUAAUACUUAACUGAAGGUCCUACGUUAUUGCUUAAAAUUAAACAAACCUUCCAAAGCUUAUUCCACUGGCCCAACAUUAAUCCAAAGCCCAAUCUUAAAUGACUACCACAGUAACCCAAAUGCAACAAAAAUUCAAACCAAAUUUCGACAAUCAAAUCUCAGGGCCCAAUUAUGUGGGUAAUCUAACUUAAAAUACCGAAUCUCACUUGUUUCUGCUCAUAUAAUUCAAACAUUAAUAAUCAAGCAAUGUAACAGAAACAUAAUCACCAAUUCAUAUUAUCUAAAAAUCAAGCAUGAGAUGGAAGGAGAUAAGUGAAAUAGGACAGGAGUCCGACCUCAAACUAGGCAGAAACACUUUCAAAAACUUGAUUAAGCAUGAAAUACCAAACCAAGAAUUUAUAGUCAUUAUGCAGUCUAAUACCUUAUUGGUAAGACUGAAAGGCAAUUCUUUCAAAGGCUCCCUGUUGGUUCCGACGUAAGCAGCAACGGCUUCCUCACUGAAUGUAUUGCGACAGAAUUUAGCUCGUCAACUGCUCUACAAUCAGCGGCAAGAUAUCCGACUGCAAAAUUUCCAAUCUACGAAAUCUGUCCUAAGAAGCAGCAGCAAGUCCGGUCGGGAAUCACGAACUUAAACCUCGACCGGCAUCUCGCGCUCGUCAGCUCCAAACAAAUCUCGCCCACGAGCUUCGAAAUGGGCUUGAAUUAACGAAACUUCAGCAGCAAAAUGAGGCUUAAGAGUCGAAAAUUGUUUUCCAAUUAAUAGAACUUCAACAACUAUAGAAACAGAAAUUCAAACUUUCAAUUGAUGAAAUUUUUAGUGAUACAAGGACAGAAAUCAAGCGAAUAUUACAACCCAAAACUCGAGACAAACAAUCAGGCUCAAACAGGAUCAAUAACUGCACUGUGAACGACACCUCGAACUCGAUCGAACUCCCUAUUUUGAAACGAAAUUUCUCGCUCUGUCAUCGUUUGCUCUCUGUUCAUCUAGGUGUGCGUGUGUGUGGCUGCCGAUUUUAGAGGGGGCUGAAGGUUGUGCUGAAGACGAUGACGCCAGGGUGGGUGGUCGCUUUGUACUUUUGUUAAAAGAAAACCAGAUCAGAAACGGGUGGGGGGAGGCAAGGUUGAAGACGAUGACGCACAGGGGGGGUCUGUAUGGUGCUGCGUCUUCAACGUUCUCUCUUUCAGCUUUUGGGCGUUAGAAUUCUUUUGUUAGGUUUAAGAAGGGGCAGAACGGGGGUGGUUUGAAAAAGAUAUACGCGAGGGGGUGGGGGUCGUGAAGAAGACGACACAGGGGGGUGGGGUUC
Molecule: long non-coding RNA, 4551 nt
Filed under: Nicotiana tabacum (common tobacco)
Lineage: Eukaryota; Viridiplantae; Streptophyta; Magnoliopsida; Solanales; Solanaceae
Description: long non-coding RNA (NTAB_LNC012389)
Source: RNAcentral